CCUACGGGGGGCAGCAGUGGGGAAUAUUGCGCAAUGGGCGAAAGCCUGACGCAGCGACGCCGCGUGAGGGAUGAAGGUCUUCGGAUCGUAAACCUCUGUCAGCAGGGAAGAACGGUCACUGUGCUAAUCAGCAGUGAAUUGACGGUACCUGCAAAGGAAGCACCGGCUAACUACGUGCCAGCAGCCGCGGUAAUACGGAGGGUGCGAGCGUUAAUCGGAAUUACUGGGCGUAAAGCGCUCGUAGGCGGUAUGUCAAGUCAAGGGUGAAAUCCCCGCGCUCAACGUGGGAACUGCCUUUGAAACUGGCAAACUGGAGUGUGUGAGAGGAUAGUGGAAUUCCAGGUGUAGGAGUGAAAGCCGUAGAUAUCUGGAGGAACAUCAGUGGCGAAGGCGACUAUCUGGCACAUAACUGACGCUGAGGAGCGAAAGCGUGGGUAGCAAACAGGAUUAGAUACCCCGGUAGUC
RNAcentral lists this ribosomal RNA (465 nucleotides) under uncultured bacterium. Its description in RNAcentral is "partial 16S ribosomal RNA". It matches the Rfam family "Bacterial small subunit ribosomal RNA", at positions 338 to 795 of the family's 1533-position model. The record is from RNAcentral.